This 527-nucleotide ribosomal RNA is filed under the name Penicillium sp. NOF14. Its description in RNAcentral is "eukaryotic LSU rRNA". The stretch from base 136 to 289 matches the Rfam family "5.8S ribosomal RNA". Lineage: Eukaryota; Fungi; Ascomycota; Eurotiomycetes; Eurotiales; Aspergillaceae. The record is from RNAcentral.
UACCGCGUUGCCUCGGCGGGCCCACUGGGGCCUGGCCCCGGUCGCCGGGGGGCUUCUGCCCCCGGGCCCGCUCCCGCCGAAGCACCCUAGAACCCUGCCUGAACAGUGAGUCUGAGUGAGAUUUUAAAUCAUUAAAACUUUCAACAACGGAUCUCUUGGUUCCGGCAUCGAUGAAGAACGCAGCGAAAUGCGAUAAGUAAUGUGAAUUGCAGAAUUCCGUGAAUCAUCGAAUCUUUGAACGCACAUUGCGCCCCCUGGCAUUCCGGGGGGCAUGCCUGUCCGAGCGUCAUUUCUGCCCUCCAGCACGGCUGGGUGUUGGGCGCUGUCCCCCCGGGGACACGCCCCAAAAGCAGUGGCGGCGCCGCGUCGGGUCCUCGAGCGUAUGGGGCUCUGUCACCCGCUCGGGAGGGACUCGGUCGGCGCUGGUCUUCCCUUUAGGCCGCCCUUCGGGGUGCGCCUCUUCCGGUUGACCUCGGAUCAGGUAGGGCUACCCGCUGAACUUAAGCAUAUCAAUAAAGCGGAGGAAA